CAUUAACAACAACAACAAAAAAAGGCCUUCCUUACCCGCGGCUCUCCCACCCAGCUGCGUCAGUGUGCGCCUGACCACGCGCGGCGGAAUCGCGGUCUGGACGAGCCCUUUUGAUGAAGUCAGCAGGCGGCUAUGAAACGGGACCCGGGACAAACGCCCUCUAUAGCCUCUCUCGUCUAAUAAAAGUAAUGGGCGAAACACAGUUCCUUCUCCUCCGCUGGUUUUCUUGCCAGCGAGGAUCCUACCCGCUCUGGCCGGAUCCGAGCGACGCUCCGGGUCUCUGCAGCCUCUGGGCGCGCUCACACCCGCGUGCACGUGCCGAGCUGCGCUCCGGAGUGGAAAACGGGGAAAGCAAAGCGAGUAAUGGAGAGGCUGAGGACGGCCUGGGCGUCGGGGGAGGGGGGCGGUGAGGGAUGGGUAUGUAUGACCUAAGUUCUUCCAAAGGCUGUCUCGCAGAAACAUUGAAAAGAAAAGAAAAGAAAACGGACACCUUUCAUCUGUUUCCACUUGCCUAGAGCCGCUCCCGCGGCGCGCUGACCUCCCCGGGCAGCGCGACUGUGCGCGCGCACGUGUGUGCAGGUCGGGGCGCCUGGCCGCGCGGCCGUGAACGCGGAGGGCAGAGUGCUCGCUCACACUGUCCUUCCAAACGAUCGCCGACCGCUGAACGAAGGCGCUCGGGUCUUGGCGGCUCCGGAAGAGGGUCUCGGGUCACUGGGAUCCUUCAUCCCGUCCGCGGCGCGCGCACCGCCGCCCGCGCACCGCCACCCUUCCGCUCACCCCGCUCGGCGCUCCCAGCUGGGGACGCGGACACCGGCGGGACCUGAGCCCGGGGACGCGCGCACGGCUCGCCCAAAGGGGCUGCGGGUCGGGGUUCGCGGGGAAGGGAAGAACCGGAGCGAUGGAAGCACGGGAUGCGGAGAAGAGGCGAAGGAUGCUGAUUCCUGGCCGCGGCGCGGAGAAACUUCAGGAAGCGGGUCGGAGGCGGGCGUUCGCGGAGAGGAUGGGCCGUGUGCGGCCGCUGAACGAAACCAGGAGGGACACGUUAGCGGCCAGCACAGUUCUAGUCCUCCGACCUCAGGGGCUGGGCCGUGGUGCUAGAACCGGGUCUCAGGCUGAGCCCAGAACGUACAAAAGAGCGCGCCCCGGUCCAGGGACCCCUCCCGCGGCACUGCCCGCGGGGCCCGAGUCUUUCGGGCCGGUGGAAACCAGGGGCCGCGUCCGCGCUCCAGGGACCCCUCCCGCGGCACUGCCCGCGGGGCCCGAGUCUUUCGGGCCGGUGGAAACCCAGGGGCCGCGUCCGCGCUCCAGGUUUCCUGACUGGAGCGGCGGGGACCCCCCGGGCUUCGCCUCCCGCGGUGUUUUGCAGACACACGUGGCCGCAUCAGAACACCGUGUCAGAGCUUCGAAAGGCCAAAGUGUCCAGAGACCCGCGAGCGGGCUCGACCCCGCUUGGAAGGCAUUCACGUUUCAUUUGACUUAAACUCUGUACAGUUUACAGCGAAGUGUUCCUGUUUCCCAAAAAAGAAAACACAGACCCGGACUCGCGGCUCUUCUUGCCAGUUUCUGAUGCCACUCGCUCCACAGUCCCCCAGGAAGAGCGACAUCAGAGGGGACAGGUCCCCUGUACAUGGAAACCACUUCCACUUGACACAGAACUUCACGAAGAGGAACCACGUAAAAUGUGUCUUUUUAAAUCUUAAUUGACCCCCUCCCCUCGGCAUAUCUACACGCUCCAAGAUGGUACCUCUUUGCCCACCCAACUCUUAAAACUCCCAAGACAGGGCAAAAGGCGGGAAGAGAGAGAGAAGCCGGGCUCGGCUAGGCUUUAUUCAAACGCUCCAGUGUUGCUGUCCGUUUGCCCCGAAUGCAAUCGACGUGGGGGAGGCCGGGCCGGGGCGCCCUCAGUGGCUGGGGACGGCGCCAGGCCCACCGCGGCGGGGACGAGGCGGCAUCCGCGGGCCACAGCGCCCCCUCGCCGCCCGUGCGCACGACUUCGGGCCGCGUUGCCGCUGGGCCUUCCCGCCUCCCGGGAGUCCCGGGCAAGGAGUGGAGGGCGCCUCGGUCUGCGCCACCGCUGCUUUCCGAGGAGGAUCUAGAGCCCCAGGCCGCCGUUUCCCAGAGCUCGGCCUCCAGGAAACCGCGGUUCCCGGAAACACGAGUGUCCUCGCCAACUCCUUCCAAAAGCACCGGCCACUGUGGGGACAAGAAACAGAAAUGUGAUGGUGUUAACCGAUCCUCUUUUUUUUUUUGAAUGCUCACCUGGAGCAAAGUGUGUGUGUUGGGGGCGGGGAGGUGGAAUCCACCGUAAAUCCCGCAACCGAACUGCUCGGAUCCAUCGCUUUCAGGGCACGCACCCGGUUGGCCCGCGCGCCGGCCCUUUCUCUUCCAUCCCAGUGAGGAGGGCAACCGAAAGUGACAGAGGCCCAGUGUCCGUUCAGACUCCGGCGCUCCACAGGCCUAAACAGCCUCCUCGCCCGUGAGCGGAGCAUCCAGGUCCUGCUCCCCGAAAGCGGCGGCCGCGGGGUCCGGGAGCUCCCCGCGGUGACCCGAGACGCAGUUGCAGGAUUCCAGGCCAUCCUCGCAGGCGGCCGCGCGCCCAGCCAUCGCGUCGAGCCUCCGCAUUUGCAGCCUGUUCUUUCGAUUGAGUUUUUAGAAAAGAAGACCGAGCCAACUUUAAGAAAAGGGAAAGUGAUUUUAUAUAUUAAAAAAAAAUCAGAGUGCUUUAAAGCGAAACGGAGUUUAUAUAUCCCGGUAACAAUGCAGAGCGUAAAUGUUAAUGUCUCUGCGUAGGCAUUUUAAUUUGCUACAGUCACCACCAAUAAAAACAGCAUGUAGUACGAUUCGACUGUUUAAUAGUGCAAGGUAGACGGCUUUUAUUAGUAGCAGGCAGCAGUAUGGAAAAUUUAGAUUUCAGUGGAGGAGUAUAAUUGCUGGGGGGAAAAAAAAGACACUGAGCAGAGACUGUCUUCCGGAUCAGCUGCGCUGAGCUGCGGGCAGCGCGAGAGCCGGCAGCCCUUUCUGGAGAAGCACCCUGGGCGACGCGAGACCCUCCAAAGCCACGUGCACAUGUCUGGUUACACACUUAAUUGAUGUCAAAAUCGAGUGUAUCGGAGCUUAUGCUCCCUGCUCCAAACUGGAGAUGUUUUUGUAAUAAUUCGCUGUUUUCUUUUCUGCCCCUGGCAGAGAUCAAGCCCUGGGGGUGGGGGGUGGGGGUGUGGAGUGGGGGAAUCGAGGGAGAGGGAGGAGAGGGCGGGGGGAGGGGAGGAGAAGGCUAGGGGGGCGGCCCCAAAUGCUAAUGAGACAACAGCAGGAACUGGUCUUUAGAAAUGGAAAUACUCAGGCCAGUCCUCCUUGGAGAUAAAAAUUAGACCUGAUUUUUUUUUCUUUUUCUUUUUUCACUUGAACUAUGUAAUUGGAAGGGAACCGAAGGCCCAGAACCUGGUCUGGCGCUGUGAACGUUGGUCAUCCGUCGUGUGUCUGUCUCAUUUCGGCCUCUUCCUGGCCGAAUUCCCUCCCGGGAAGACCACGGAUGCCGCGGACCCUGGGAAAAGCAGGCUCCACGGGGUGCUGCGGCCUCUGAUUCUCCCCGCUUCCCUUUCCUUUUUAACGCGACAAUAAUUGAUUUAAAAUAACUGCCCUGAACUGAAUUAGGGCGUCCUGCUUGGGGUCAAAGCAUUGCUGAAACUCACCUGCUGGGCCCUCGAGGUGGCGCAGAGUGUGUGGGGUGGGGUGGGGGUGACAGUUUGGGUGGGUGGUGAGGGACUGGGGAGUGUUUGGGGGUGAGGCGUCUAGGAAAGUGUAGAGGGUGCAGGCUGGGGUUUGUGGGCGGCGCGGGGGCUCAGAGAGGAGAGCCGGUGUUGAGGGGACGGGCGAGGGUGCAGCGGUUUGGGGGCAAGUGGGGAGGCGGCUGGGGUCAGGUGCCUGGACUUCACAUACCAGGGGGCCACCGCCUGCAGGCGGAGGCGGGUGGGCUCUGCUCAAGUCCAAUCCUGCAGUUUACAACCGGUCUCCUUGGAUCUGGGGGAAGGAAACACAGCCUCGGUGGUUCCGCAGGCGGUCAGGCCCGAGGCUGGAGCCUCCUGGUCCUCGCGCUGCAGCCGCGCCUCGCAAGAGGCCGCAUGGCGCCUGGGGUACCCGGGAGACCGAGACCCGAACGCGAUCACUCUGGUCCUUCCGCGAGCUGCCCAGCCAACGGGCUGGGAAGUGGGCCAGAGGGUUGGUAGGCGGUGGGGUAGCAGGGUGGGGGUAGAGGAGUAGGGGAUGGGGUAGAGGGGUGGGUGGGGAAGGU
Long non-coding RNA from Bos grunniens (domestic yak), 4288 nucleotides. Lineage: Eukaryota; Metazoa; Chordata; Mammalia; Artiodactyla; Bovidae. The record is from Ensembl.